AGUGAACGCUGGCGGUAGGCCUAACACAUGCAAGUCGAGCGGCCGCACAGUAAGAGCUUGCUCUUACGGGUGGCGAGUGGCGGACGGGUGAGGAAUACAUCGGAAUCUACUUUUUCGUGGGGGAUAACGUAGGGAAACUUACGCUAAUACCGCAUACGACCUACGGGUGAAAGCAGGAGAGCUUCGCACCUUGCGCGAUUGAUUGAGCCGAUGUCGGAUUAGCUAGUUGGCUGGGUAAAGGCACACCAAGGCGACGAUCCGUAGCUGGUCUGAGAGGAUGAUCAGCCACACUGGAACUGAGACACGGUCCAGACUCCUACGGGAGGCAGCAGUGGGGAAUAUUGGACAAUGGGCGCAAGCCUGAUCCAGCCAUACCGCGUGGGUGAAGAAGGCCUUCGGGUUGUAAAGCCCUUUUGUUGGGAAAGAAAAGCAGCAGGUUAAUACCCCGCUGUUCUGACGGUACCCAAAGAAUAAGCACCGGCUAACUUCGUG
This 492-nucleotide ribosomal RNA is filed under the name uncultured bacterium. RNAcentral's name for it is "partial 16S ribosomal RNA". It matches the Rfam family "Bacterial small subunit ribosomal RNA", at positions 29 to 507 of the family's 1533-position model. The record is from RNAcentral.